Molecule: long non-coding RNA, 493 nt
Organism: Manis pentadactyla (Chinese pangolin)
Lineage: Eukaryota; Metazoa; Chordata; Mammalia; Pholidota; Manidae
Exons: 3
Source: RefSeq, a predicted model, not a curated record
CAUUCAUGGAGCUUGUUGAUGAGAAUAAACUGAAGCACUGUUAAAUUAAGUCAUUUGUCCAAAUAUGCAGAAAUAAGAAAUGACAGAACUUGGUUUCUUAACUACAAUAUUCUAAACUACCUUCAACAAAUGGGAAGAUAAUGGCUUAUAGCAGGGAACAAAGUUUGUCAUCCAGAUCUUUAAUGAUGCCCAUAAGGAAACAUCCACAUCCUUUGGUUAAAAGACUGAAUUUUCAAGGAUCUCUGGGUGUCUGAAGGAGGCCAUCAUUGUUCUGAUGAAGUGUAAGGCUCGGUUUAUUUGACUGGGCACUCCACAGAGGGCCUGAACCUGCUGAGCACAUUGAUCUAAGGACAGACAGCAGUGGGACUCUGGAAGGUGUAACUCCAGCAGCAGACGAGGUAUUGAUGAAUGCUUGCUGAUGAAGGAGUCCUCUUCAUCUCUUAAUAUGUAUUCUGAGUUGUUACCUGGAAUAAAUUCUAUUAUUUCUAAUUAA